This 465-nucleotide ribosomal RNA is filed under the name uncultured bacterium. Its description in RNAcentral is "bacterial SSU rRNA". It matches the Rfam family "Bacterial small subunit ribosomal RNA", at positions 338 to 795 of the family's 1533-position model. The record is from RNAcentral.
CCUACGGGUGGCAGCAGUGGGGAAUAUUGGACAAUGGGCGAAAGCCUGAUCCAGCCAUGCCGCGUGUGUGAAGAAGGUCUUCGGAUUGUAAAGCACUUUAAGUUGGGAGGAAGGGCAGUAAGCUAAUACCUUGCUGUUUUGACGUUACCGACAGAAUAAGCACCGGCUAACUUCGUGCCAGCAGCCGCGGUAAUACGAAGGGUGCAAGCGUUAAUCGGAAUUACUGGGCGUAAAGCGCGCGUAGGUGGUUUGUUAAGUUGAAUGUGAAAGCCCCGGGCUCAACCUGGGAACUGCAUCCAAAACUGGCAAGCUAGAGUAUGGCAGAGGGUGGUGGAAUUUCCUGUGUAGCGGUGAAAUGCGUAGAUAUAGGAAGGAACACCAGUGGCGAAGGCGACCACCUGGGCUAAUACUGACACUGAGGUGCGAAAGCGUGGGGAGCAAACAGGAUUAGAUACCCCAGUAGUC